AGGUUUGAGUAACUACUGAAAUGAUAUGUUUUCUUAUAGCCUUUUGGUCAUAUUUAACCUUAUUCAAGGUAUGUAUCAUAUAAUGUAAAUUUCUUUCAAAAAUAUUAUAUGUUUUUUUUAAUUUUACAGUAUUGUAUUGCAUCAGUCGGACAAAUCCUAGGAAUUCGUUCGCAAAAAUCUCUUUUCGGUGGUCUUUUUAUGAUUUUCGUUACUGCGGAAAUUUUACAAUAGAUUGCAUAAAGUUAUAUUAGGCUAUCGUUUCUAAAACAAAUCCCAAGAAGGCUUAGAUAAUGUGUGUUACUAAUAAAACAUAGCUAUUAUAAUGUCACAAAAGAGUAAGGAUAGCGAAGACUUGUCAUUGGUUUUAUUAAGAUAGACCUUACAAACUAUAUAAAGUAAACACCCGCGACAUCGAGGGUCUGUUACACAACUUAAGUAGUUAUUAAAAUUGAGAAAGGAAAUGGGAAAUGUGUCAGAGACAACAACCCGACCCCUUAUUUUGAGCCUGGAUUUUUAGUAUUCAUAUUGUUAUCUGAUAAAGUCAUACUGAUUAAAAGGUUACAAAUAUUCUCUGCUAUCAAAAUCUUUAUGAUGAACCAGUCCCUUCAUGUUAAAGUUUUUGCACUAAGUAAUGUUAGUCUCUGUGCAAUGACAGAUUUUAGGUGGGAUUAUGAUUCGUGUUUAUAGCAAAUCCCAAAAUACAACGUGUGGCGGUGCGUCUGUCUUGGAUGGAACAUAUCAAUCAGGUAGCAAUACACAGUUAGAAGUUUGGUUUUGCAUUUCUGUCCCGGUGGAUUUUUCAAAUAUGAAAGUUAGUGUGUAAUAAAAUUCAUUUUAGACAGCUGAGUACUAAUUUAGCCUUCAGAGAUGGUUUAUAAGAACAUUAAGAUUAUUUUUUACAUUUUGUAUGGGCUAUUUUCUGUUUGACCCUCCGUAUUUUUGUCGAAAUGCGCAUCUGGUGCAAGAAAAUUGGUACCGUCAAUUUUAUUACUACCACUGGGUCGAUGCCUCUGCUGGUGGACUAUUAGUCCGCGAGGGUAUCACCAGCCCAGUAGCCAGUACUUCGGUACUGGCAUGGAAAAUACGGAUUUUUUGUGUUAUUAAAAUUUGCUGUUACAAAAUAUUAGAAAUUAUUUUAAAUUAAGGAAUGUAUCUCCCUCAUGCAAAGCUCUGAUUCCUUUUACGGAUUUGGCUAUACUUUUGGACCUUUGGAUUAUAGCUCUUCAUCUUUUAUAUAAGCUUUGGAUUUCAAAUAUUUUGGCCACGAGCAUCACUGAAGAGACAUGUAUUGUCGAAAUGCGCAUCUGGUGCAAGAAAAUUGGUACCGUUAAUUUUAUUUCAUAGCUUGACCGGCCAUCGGUCCAGAAAUAAUGUAAUGUUUACAAACACUUAUUUUCUGCACGAAGAUUUUGACGCAAUUUUACAAUAAAAUUAGAUGAAAGACAUAUGAUUUUAUAUGUUACGGAUUUUGUACUUACAUGAGCAACUCCACGGGUGCCACAAGCGGGACAGGAUCUGCUUACUCUUCCGUAGCAUCUAGGAUCACCAUCAGUUUUUGGUGGAUUUCGUGUUACUUAGUCUUAGUAUUCUAUGUUGUGUUUUGUGUACUAUUGUUUGACCCUCUAGAUCUGUUAUGAUAUAUGCUUCUAUACGUGACUUUCCAUAUGCAUCGUUCAGGGUUUGGCAGUUAAUUUGCUGUAGACCAAAUUACGGACGUUCAUCGCACCAAAUUCAAAGCUUCAUAUUUGUAAUGCAUCUGGUGUCAAAUUCAGACUGUAUGACGCCUGUACUAAUAUGAAAAGAACUUUUUUUUUAAAGAUUGACAGCGACGAAGGCAAUUUGUUGUGCAAAAAUUUUGGUAAACUCAAUUACUGUUUUCUAUAUUUUUAUAAUCUACUAUUUCUCAAACGAUGAUUUGGUAAAAUUAGUGCCCAAAAUUUUAUUGUAUAAGUAUGCACUAUUAAUCAUGUUUUGUGGCAUUUGAACAUAUGUUUAUAAAAUCCAAGGCUUAGAUCAUCACUGUGUUAUCAAACAAUGUACAGAAAUUUAUGUUUCUAUUUCAACUUUUUUUCUUUCUUUCUUUCUUUCUAGGAAUUAAUUUAUGCAGUAUUCGAAUGUGUCUAGCAUGGGCUGUGAAUGAGGAGAUUUUAACAUUUACUUGCAAAGUUAACCAUUUACAUUAUAAAGUUGAGUUUGCCAAUCAGUUCCACGAAACACAGGGAUAUUGUUUACAUCCUUUCCCAGAUCCAUAUUGUUACACAUACUAUAAAAAUUCAACUAUUACCCAAAACAUUUAUACAAACGAAACAUAUCUAGUGGUUAAAGGACGCAUCAACAACAAAAUCAAUGGACAAUGGUCAUGUCAUCAUGGAACAAAUACAGAUGUAGCAUUUGUCAAUGUCACGGUGCUUCGUUCUAAAG
Molecule: long non-coding RNA, 2421 nt
Filed under: Mytilus galloprovincialis (Mediterranean mussel)
Lineage: Eukaryota; Metazoa; Mollusca; Bivalvia; Mytilida; Mytilidae
Source: RNAcentral